This 120-nucleotide ribosomal RNA is filed under the name uncultured bacterium. Its description in RNAcentral is "partial 16S ribosomal RNA". It matches the Rfam family "Bacterial small subunit ribosomal RNA", at positions 796 to 918 of the family's 1533-position model. The record is from RNAcentral.
CACGCUGUAAACGAUGAUUACUGGUUGUUAGCGAUAUAUAGCUAGUGACUGAGCGAAAGCAUUAAGUAAUCCACCUGGGGAGUACGUCGGCAACGAUGAAACUCAAAGGAAUUGACGGGG